GACGAACGCUGGCGGCGUGCUUAACACAUGCAAGUCGAACGGAAAGGCCCUGCUUUUGUGGCUUUCUCGAUUGGCGAACGGGUGAGUAACACGUGAGUAACCUGCCCUUUACUUUGUGAUAACUUUAGGAAACUGGGGCUAAUACCGGAUAGGAGCUCUUGCUGCAUUGUGUUGGUUGGAAAGUUUCGGCUGUUGGGGAUCGACUCGCUGCUUAUCAGCUUGUUUGUGAGGUAGUGGCUUACCAAGGCUUUGACGGGUAGUCGGCCUGGGAGGGUUACCGGCAACAUUGGGACUGAGGUAGGGACCAGAAUCCAAGGGGAGGCAGCAGUCGGGAGUAUUGAACAAUGGGCGGAAGCAUGAUGAAGAAACGCGGCGUGCGGGAUGAUGGUCUUUGGGUUGUAAACAGAUUUGGCAUGUGAAGAAGAGUGAGUGACGGUAAUGAGUAAAGAAGCACCGGCUAACUACGUG
Molecule: ribosomal RNA, 468 nt
Filed under: uncultured bacterium
Lineage: Bacteria
Description: partial 16S ribosomal RNA
Rfam family: Bacterial small subunit ribosomal RNA
Source: RNAcentral